UCAGCGCCGCGCCGCUGACAAUCCCGUCGUGGGCCUCUCUGGCCGCCUGGAGGACUUGUCAUCUGUGUCCGGCGGCGCGGGGAGGAGCGGGGCGGCGGUGGGUGGGUCUGACGUGAGGUGCCACGAGAUUCUCGGGUGCACCGCCUCCUACUACUUUAGGUGGGCGGGUGUCUUUGCCAUGGGGCUGCAGCAGGUGUGGAGGCUUAUGUCGAGGUUUAAUUCAUUCAAAAGGACUAAUAUCAUACUGCAACAUUUGAGAAUGUCUAAGCACACGGAUGCAGUGGAAGUACUGUUGGAAAGAAAAGGUUGUGCAGGAGUGAUAACACUAAACAGACCAAAGUUCCUAAAUGCUCUGAACCUUAGUAUGAUUCGGCACAUUUAUCCACAGCUAAAGAAUUGGGAACAAGAUCCUGAAACUUUCCUGAUCAUUAUAAAAGGAGCUGGUGGAAAGGCUUUCUGUGCUGGGGGUGAUAUCAGAGCGAUCUCUGAAGCUGGAAAGGCAAACCAGAAGAUAGCUCAAGAUUUCUUUAGAGAAGAAUAUAUGCUGAACAAUGCCAUUGGUUCUUGCCGGAAACCAUAUGUUGCACUUAUUCAUGGAAUUACAAUGGGUGGGGGAGUUGGUCUCUCAGUUCAUGGGCAAUUCCGAGUGGCCACGGAAAAGUCUCUUUUUGCGAUGCCAGAAACAGCAAUAGGACUGUUCCCUGAUGUGGGUGGAGGUUAUUUCUUGCCACGACUUCAAGGAGAACUUGGUUACUUCCUUGCAUUGACAGGAUUCAGGCUGAAAGGAAGAGAUGUGUAUGCAGCAGGAAUUGCUACACAUUUUGUAGAUUCUGAAAAGCUGGGCAUGUUAGAAGAAGAUUUGUUAGCCCUAAAAUCUCCUUCAAAAGAAAAUAUUGCAGAUGUCUUAGAUGCUUACCAUGCAAAGUCCAAGAUUGAUCAAGACAAGUCUUUUAUACUUGAGGAACACAUGGACAAAAUAAACAGUUGGUUCUCAGCCAAUACUGUGGAACAGAUAGUUGAAAAUUUACAGCAAGAUGGUUCAUCUUUUGCCCUAGAACAAUUGAAGGUAAUUAAUAAAAUGUCUCCAACAUCCCUAAAGAUCACACUAAGGCAACUCAAAGAGGGGUCUUCAAAGACCUUACAAGAAGUAUUAACCAUGGAAUAUCGGCUGAGUCAAGCUUGUAUGGGAGGCCAUGACUUUUAUGAAGGUGUUAGGGCAGUUUUAAUAGAUAAAGACCAGAGUCCAAAGUGGAAACCAGCUGAUCUAAAAGAAGUUACUGAUGAAGAUUUGAAUAAUUACUUUAAAUCUCUGGGAAGUAACGAUUUGAAAUUUUAAGGUACACAAGAAAUUACAGGGUGUUCCAGACUUGGGACAUUAAAUUCAAGUUGCCAUCUGAGUUCCGUGUCACAUUGGUGGCGGCUCUUGUGCCCCUAUCCUGGCUGUUCUCAAGGGAAAAGAUUCAGUGGUUGGGCACGUGUCCGUGUGGUGAAGAAAGGAACCUGCUACUGUGUCCCUUCCCAUGGUCACGAACACUGGAGACUUGUUUUUGCAGUGUCUUCUGAUGGAGCCUGACGUGAGUGCUGUUUCUUGGGCCCUCUUUUCCCCGGUUUCCUUUCCCUUAUAAUUUGGCCACUAUUAUUUCAUCUGCGUUUGUGAUGUGUAGUUGGAACAAAUGUUUCCCUUUCCAGUAGCUAAUAAUUCUUUCAGUCUUCUGUUUUAUAUGUUCCUUCCUUCUCAAAUAGAUCUUCCAGUCUUUUACUGUUCGUAAAAGUUCAAAAUGAAGUAAAUCCAAUAUUUAGAUAUGAAGGUGCAAAAGAAGUUAUCCUAUCAAAGAUGUUCUCACUGUCUUGUCAUCAAGGCCAAACUAUAUCUUGAUGAUUAUCACAUGCACCACAAAUUUGUUUAUCUGGUUCUUUUUCCUCCCUGCCUCCAACUUGGUUUAUUAACUCACUGAUUAUGCAAGGCUUGUAGUUCCUUGUCCAUGGUUUGACAUAAUACAGCAUAUAUUUCCAAGAGAAUUCUAUGUUGCAAGAUCUUAUACUCUGUUAAAAUGAUUCAGGAGCGAGAGGUUGGUGCAUGGUGACAAAACCGUACUGCUGUAGUGUCAGAGUGGCAACAGAGAUGAGAAUUCUAGCUAGAUAUGGAUCUGGCAGGCAUCCCUGCUACACCCCUGGGAAAUAGGGGCCCAGGCACAGGAGGAACCUGAGGUUAAAAUAUUUAUGAGGAAACUCAACAGUCUACAUCCGUAUGUACACUGAAAAAUUUAGUGUGGCUAUGGCUUUGUGUUCUCACCAUAAUAUUCUAUCUUUUAAAUAGUAUAUGACUUUGCAGCAAAAGUGAGAUAUAAAAUGAAUGAAAAAUGGCAACAUCUAGGCUUUUGUCCAAGUCAUUAGUGUACUCAAAAACCUAAAUUUUCCUUCGUGAGUUCGAAAGAUGUUUUGCAUUUUCAGAAAACUUUUGUUCCUUAGCCUUAGGACUUCAGAUCCCUAUAUAAACAGGGAUGGUGGUUUUUCUACUUUAUAAGUUUCUAGAUUGCAAGUACAACAGGACAGUUCAGAGCUUGAGACUAGGUGAAAUGAAAGUUGAAUGCCAGGUGUCCAAAGGCAACUGAAAGAUGGCACAUGACUCACUUCAAAGUACUCUUUUUCCAUGCAACUGGGAGAAUUCACUCUAUUUGUGGGUUUCAAAGGACAGUUGUUAAAAUUAGAGGUAGCAUUUCUGCCUGCUUACAAGGCCAAAUACAUAUUUAUCUCAUUAAAAAGGUUACAAGUCUUUUUCUGCCUUGCUUUAGCUGUCAGUGACAAGGGUCUGUUGAAUCUUAAUAAAAGAAUUUAAUGCACACAGACUUAAAUAAUUCCCUUUCCAACUAAACUCAGUGUGUAGCAAAUCUGGAUGAAAAGACCAUUCUAGGGACUGAGUCCCAAUUUUUCUACAGGUUAUGUUUUCUCAGUAUCUUCUUCCACUUCCAAAUUUUCUGUUACCAUUGAUUUUAAGCAGUACUUAAUUCUUGGGGGGGGGAGCUUCCCCAAAAAGCCAAAUUUAAGAAAAUAGUAUAUGGCUGUAAAUGCCUUAUGGGCAUUGUUACCAUAAAAGAAAUACAUGAGUACUCUCUUUGGAGGAGUGUUUGAUCUUCUGUUUUGUAAUGCAACGGUAUAGCCUCAUGCAUAGACUGGUCCCACAGUAAUAUGAAUGGGGACUGCCCCCCUAGUCAAUAAUAAAAAUGGGAAUGAGUGUCUAUUAUACCAACUCUCUACAUCUUUGAGACAGUAAAACUCCAUAUACAUGCAGCACUGAGAACAGGUUCUGCUUUUUACCUUGACUAGGGCUCCUGUUAUUUUAAAAUUUACUGGAUUGCUGUUUGUUUUGUUGUAUCACUGGGCUGCUUAACUCAAUGCCAUAAACAUUACUAUCAUGACUUCUGUAAAUUGUAUCCUGUUCAGAUGCCUUAUGUGCAAAGUCUCCAGUCAUCCAAUAACAGCUGUGGUUAGUUAGGGCCCUGAGGUUUAAGGUGGUAGUUUAGGACAGGUUUGAAGGUGGACUUCUGCAAGGGGUGCUUUCUACUGCUUGAUCAUGUGUGUUAAGUAGGGGUCCUUGACACAAAUGGUUUUGACAAAUGACCCACUAUUAAUUACUGCGGCUUAAGUGCCAUUUCCUUGCCAUCUGAAAAAUCCCUUUCAUAACUUGUUUGUGUGUGUGAAUUAAAUAGUUAUUUUAAAAGAAGUGUCUUUAAAAUAAUCAUUUGAUUUCUUUGGUGAUACUAUUAGUGCCACAGGAAGAAAGUGGUAUGACAUAGAGCUGAUUACUGUGGUACAGGACCUGUGUUUAGCCCUUUAAAUGACUCAAAUCCAAGAGCAAGCAGAUAGAAAUUGCUAUUAACAUAAAAGUGCUUAACGUAUUUCAUUUUAGGUACUCCUAUACUCUUGAUAUUAUCAUAGACUUUUUAUUACAUCUAGAUGGAGUUAUUUGUAUUUAUUCACACCAGUUUUUGCUAUGAUUUCAUGUAUUUAAACUAGCACCAACUUUAUCCACAAUUCAGGAAGGUUAUCAUCAUCCUUACAGCGUCAAGGCCCCUCACUCUCAAUGUAUGGGAUGUCAUAGUACUUGAUGUUAUUGCCUGCCCACUGCUGCAAGGCGUCACUCAAGAUUUCCUGGGAUAGGCGGUGUGCAAAUUCAAAGACCACAGUUUCGGGCCCUGGUGGUUCCUUCACUUCUUCAACAUUCACUGGAGAAGGCAUCCUAGCCCAUGUUAUGAAGAGCUUUGAGUGAAGAAAAGCAGGAGCAAAGACUACAUCAACAGCAUCUUUGGAAAACACCGAGCUUGUCCACGGGUUACUGACCGGUGCCUUUCCUUUCCAGAGAACAAGCAGGGGGAAUGGCAGGCAGUGGUAGAAGGAGAAGCCGUCUCCCUCUGGAGCAGGGAGCCCAAUGCAGGGCUCAAUCCCAGGACCUGGGAUCAUGACCUGAGCCAAAAGCAGACGCUUAACAUCUGAGCCACCCAGGCGCCCCUCAGUGGUCAUAUUCUUUACACCUACAGAAGAGCAAGAAGCCGCCUUCUACCCACCAUUACCAGUUCAAAGGCUUUAUCCAUUUCUUACUUCUUUUGGGAACUUGAAGACUGCCUUGGGUUGGAAUAAUGUCAAUAAAAGAGAAAUCAACUUGGAAA
Molecule: RNA transcript, 4664 nt
Organism: Ailuropoda melanoleuca (giant panda)
Lineage: Eukaryota; Metazoa; Chordata; Mammalia; Carnivora; Ursidae
Gene: HIBCH
Gene name: 3-hydroxyisobutyryl-CoA hydrolase
Exons: 18
Source: RefSeq, a predicted model, not a curated record